UAACGACGAUAUGCUUUGGGGAGCUGUAAGUAAGCUUUGAUCCAGAGAUUUCCGAAUGGGGAAACCCAGCAUGAGUUAUGUCAUGUUAUCGAUAUGUGAAUACAUAGCAUAUCAGAAGGCACACCCGGAGAACUGAAACAUCUUAGUACCCGGAGGAAGAGAAAGAAAAUUCGAUUCCCUUAGUAGCGGCGAGCGAAACGGGAAGAGCCCAAACCAACAAGCUUGCUUGUUGGGGUUGUAGGACACUCUAUACGGAGUUACAAAGGACGACAUUAGACGAAUCAUCUGGAAAGAUGAAUCAAAGAAGGUAAUAAUCCUGUAGUCGAAAAUGUUGUCUCUCUUGAGUGGAUCCUGAGUACGACGGAGCACGUGAAAUUCCGUCGGAAUCUGGGAGGACCAUCUCCUAAGGCUAAAUACUCUCUAGUGACCGAUAGUGAACCAGUACCGUGAGGGAAAGGUGAAAAGCACCCCGGAAGGGGAGUGAAAUAGAACCUGAAACCGUGUGCUUACAAGUAGUCAGAGCCCGUUAAUGGGUGAUGGCGUGCCUUUUGUAGAAUGAACC
Molecule: ribosomal RNA, 562 nt
Filed under: Escherichia coli
Lineage: Bacteria; Pseudomonadati; Pseudomonadota; Gammaproteobacteria; Enterobacterales; Enterobacteriaceae
Description: partial 23S ribosomal RNA
Rfam family: Bacterial large subunit ribosomal RNA
Source: RNAcentral